RNA transcript from Corythoichthys intestinalis (scribbled pipefish), 7508 nucleotides. RefSeq lists it as uncharacterized. Lineage: Eukaryota; Metazoa; Chordata; Actinopteri; Syngnathiformes; Syngnathidae. The transcript has 2 exons. The record is from RefSeq and is a predicted model, not a curated record.
GCAUUUAUUUUGAAAGGCACCGCGCACAACCCCAUGCUCCCGUCUUUUUCUUAAUGAGGAAAUCUAGCACACCUGUCUGUAAACCUGUCCACACGCUGCACUGUCUGAGAAGCAGCGCAGCCACAUCGUAGGUGAGUCCACAAAUAAAUUGCAAGAGUUAUUAUUACUGCGGGAAUUUAUGUUUAUAUUCGUUUGGCUUGUAUUUGUUUGUGGAAAGACUGUAGUGCGGAGAGGUUAUAUUGGUUCGAUUGAAGAUAGCGCGCUCGGAAAGCAGAUGGAGGUAGGAGAAAUGGAAAUGUUUAUUGUUGGUUUUGUGAAUUGUAUUUUAAUGCCACACCGUUGUUACGUUUCUGAAAUUUUGUAGUUUUCAAGGUGUCAACAAAAGAACAAAAAAUGACUGAAAAUAAAGUUAAAGAACACCCGUCGAAGCCCUCUGCGUGUCGCAUCAUUCCGAGCGGUCAGCUACAGUGAAAACUCCUCGGCGGCGACCAGCGCAUGUUUCCCGGCUGCAACGGAUUGCCAUUUCGGUGGAGGCCCGGACGCCCUCGUACCUUAAAUUCAUCGAUCGUCCAACAACAAGCCAACUAAACUAACUCCACUCCCAUCGGCAUCUUGCGCAGGGAAAAGCGCAUUCAAGGUCAUCUACGGACACAGACACAUGACACAGAGCGACAAGGAGCAAAGAGGAGGGACAUACGCACCCAAUCUGGCAGUGGAAUUGAAGAUCCAGCCAUGACAGCUCGCAUUAGAUGACGUCAAAGUAAUUUGUGGCGUAAAUUAAAAACUUUGGGGCGCAAUUUUGGUUCAAAUGUUUAUGGUAUAAUAUUACAUGACAUGUCUGUUUAUAAAAGGGAAAUACGGUUGAAGCUCUAUAGCUAUUAAUGUCUAUUUAGGGAUUUCCAUUAAUGGCAUUUUUUGAUUGUCACUGUGUAUGCUGAAAUUCUAUUUGAAGGUCCAUAAGUUUUAAAUGCUUGACAAAGUGUUACUCUGUGGUGUAAAAUAACUUCAGCUUAUAAGUAUAGUUUCAAGCGUGGGACAAUAAAAGGUUGCAAGCAAAUAAGACAGUCAGAAAAAAAAAAAAAAAGAAAAAAUUAAAAUGUCACUUCAAGCCGAGAAAACAGACAAUCCCAUAGACAUGCCACUCAGGUCUAGCUCACGUGAGAGAAAAUUAACAGAAAAGGGCCAAGAGAUGCAGAAGCAAAUGGCUAAAAAACAUGCUAAAAUAUUUCAUAAAGCUUAUAACUCUUGGAAAUUGACGGCGAGGGAUGUAAGGACACAAUUAAAGACCCUCUGCUCAGCAGAAGAACUCAACAAAUCAAAGCAAGAUGUUGAAAUGAAGCACAAUGCUGUAAGAGAGCAAUAUGAACCUAUUUUAAGGAACAGUAACACCACACCUGAAAUUGUCAACAAAAUGGACGCCUGUGUUACUUUAACGAAGGAAAUAAGUAAUCUAAUAGUUAACCGCCUUGAAACUGUUGACGAAGAUUAUAAUGAUCAACUUGAGAAAGAGCGAGUCAGAGCAGCUUUAAAUAAAAAUGAAUAUGGCUCAGUUUUUGGGUACACCAUAACGGAAACUACAAGUUCAUCUGAAACAACAAGUGAUCAUUCUGGGUCAAGCAGCACUCAAAGCAGCAGAGUAGAGGCCAAAGCAGAGUUAGCCGCUAGGAUUGAACGAUCCAAGUCCAUGGAAGAAAUUCAAGCACAGCAAGCCCAUGUCCACAAACUGGAAAGUGAAUGGAAGCUUAAAGAAGCAAAAAUGAUGUCGGAAAUGAAACAAAGGGAAGUUGAAACGCAGCAGCAGCUAGAGCAGGAGAGGGCCAAACUGCAGCAGUUACAAGCAAAAAAGGAGGUCGCUAUUGCAGCAGCUCGUGUGAGAGCAUAUGAUGGUUUUGAUGGCUAUGAGAAUCGCAACGAAGGAAUCAAUGACAGAAUUAACCCUGUAUGUCACAGACGACUUAAAACUGAGCCUUCAUUGAAUCCAGGUGCAGCACCGUUUCAACCUCGCCAAGCAUCGUUUGACAAUACGACGCAAGAGGAAAGUAGCCUAGCACAAGCAAUUGCUAGUUCUUUGAGUAUGAAUCGGUUACCAGUGCCUGAACCCACCAUGUUUAGUGGCGAUCCUUUAAAAUUUACAGAUUGGAAAAUGUCGUUCAUGACUCUCAUUGACAGAAAGCCCCUCCCUGCAAGCGAAAAAAUGUUUUAUUUAAAAAAUUAUCUUAUUGGAGAGGCGCGCAGAGCUGUGGAAGGUUUCUUUUACCGAGAUUCCGAAAAUGCUUAUAACGGAGCUUGGAAAGUUCUACAAGACAGAUAUGGAAAUCCGUUUAUUGUACAAAAAGCGUUCCGUGAUAAGCUCUUAAAAUGGCCAAAGAUAAACACUAAUGACCCACGAGCACUACAAGAGUUCUCUGACUUCCUCCAAAGCUGUGUUGAAGCAAUGCCACACGUCAGUGGUCUAGCUAUUCUUAACGAUUGUGAAGAAAAUCAAAGGUUGCUCAAAAAACUACCUGAAUGGAUUGUUAGAAAGUGGAGUCGAAUUGUGGUCGAUGAACUCGACACAACAGGCAACUUUCCAGACUUCGCAUGCUUCACUGAGUUCCUAAGUAAAGAAGCGAGAAUCUCUUGUAAUCCCAUUACUUCUCAACUGUUGACAAAUUUCAGAACUAUAGAUGACAGGAACCUAAAGAGAGCUAAAGCCUUCAAUACAAACACACAACCAAGAGAUCUUGCACACGAAAGCCAAGUAGCAAUUAGCAGUAAACCCAAAUGGCCUUGUUUUGUGUGUAAAAAUGAGACACAUGUCAUCACAAAAUGUCCCACCUUUGCAGCUAAGAGCAUGGAGGAUAAAAGAGCCUUUAUACAUGAAAACAGACUCUGUUUUGGAUGCUUGAGAAAGGGUCACAUGACCAAGGAUUGUAAAAGACGACACACCUGUAGCACCUGCAAUCGACGUCACCCAACCUGUUUGCAUGAGGACCGAAGGCAAGAACUGGUGGAAGCACGAACUAGUAACUCUGCUGCCACAGAAGGACAUGAAAGUCAAGUGCCACACCAUGCUGUGUCACACAUAUCAACACAACAUACGUCUGCCACCUCAAGUAUUGUACCAGUUUUUGUUUCAUCAGUUCAAGAACCACACAGAGAAGUACUCACAUAUGCAAUGCUGGACACACAAAGUGAUUCAACAUUUGUUUUAGAAGAUGUGCUCGACAAAUUAAGUGUAAACGUCCAACCAGUAAACUUGAAACUUAGUACCAUGACCGCAAUUGACACAAUUAUACCCAGCAAGUGCGUUCAUGGUCUACAAGUACGAGGACUCAAUUCUGAGAUCCUCAUUCAAAUACAAAAAGCCUAUAGUCGUGACUUCAUCCCAGUAGAUAAGUCUUAUAUUCCAACAAAGGAGACAGCAUUGCGUUGGCCUCAUCUCAAAACCUUGGCAUGUAAAAUACCACCUCUUCAAGACUGUGAUAUCGGGCUCUUAAUCGGAUACGACUGUCCUACAGCACUGGCUCCUCGUGAAGUAAUUUUAGGUGACACAAACCAGCCGUUCGCACAACGAUCAGAACUAGGAUGGAGUAUAAUAGGUUCAUCAAACCCCCACCUAGACAGACAAGGAAGUCAUAGCUUUGUGCACCGGCUCACAGUCAAGGAGUUGCCAUGUCCAACAACGACAGAUGUUAUAAAGGCCCUUGAAGCAGACUUCAGUGAGAAAGCGUACGAGGAUAGGUACGUGUCACAAGAAGAUGUCCAGUUUAUACAGUUUCUCAGUAAAAAUAUUAAGCAAAAUCAUGACAGCCAUUAUGAGAUGCCCCUUCCUUUCAAAGGUGACAGUUUACCUAAUCUGCCAAACAACAAGAAAUUAGCUAUGGUUCGCUUACAGUGUCUCAAAAGAAAAUUGAAGGCCGAUAAACAAUAUUAUGAUCAAUACAAAACAUUCAUGGAGGAAACUAUUAACAAGGGUGAUGCAGAGCCUGCCCCUACAACAUUCAAAGGUCAAACAGAGUGGUAUCUGCCGCAUCAUGGCGUUUAUCAUCCUAAAAAGCCAGAUAAGUUAAGAGUUGUGUUUGAUGGUUCUUCAAAAUUUCAUGGAAUUUCUUUAAACGACACACUGCUAACUGGACCUGAUCUAAUUAAUCCCUUAGUAGGAGUACUUUGUAGAUUCAGAAAGGAAAAGGUAGCCAUUAUCUGUGACAUCGAAAGAAUGUUUUAUCAAUUUUCUGUCUCUCCGGAGUCAAGAAAUUAUUUGAAAUUCCUUUGGUGGAAAGGUGGUGAUCUGGAGAAGGAACCACAAGAGUACAGAAUGACAGUUCAUCUCUUUGGAGCCGCAUCGUCUCCGGGAUGUGCCAAUUUUGGCCUCAAGUAUCUAGCAAAACAAUACAAGGAUAAUCAUCCACGGGCAUCAACAUUUUUGGAGAAGAACUUUUAUGUUGAUGACGGUUUAGCUAGUGUUUCAUCAGUGGAAGAAGCCAAAAAACUGAUCACUGAGUCACAAGAGUUGUGCAAAAGAGGAGGCAUGCGCCUGCAUAAGUUCAACUCAAAUGAAGAGGCAGCGCUCUCUUGUUUGAAACCCUCUGAAAGAGCGACUAACAACGAGCCCUUAGGACUAGAUCCAUUUCCAUCAGAACGGGCUCUCGGUGUUCAGUGGUCAAUUAAAGAAGACACUUUCAACUUUACCAUAUGUGCAAAGGAUCAGCCUUCCACCCGCCGUGGCUGUUUGUCGAUCAUUGCCUCUCUCUUUGAUCCACUUGGAUUCAUUGCCCCAUUCAUUCUAACAGGAAAGCGAAUCCUGCAAGAGCUUUGUCAACGCAACAUUGGAUGGGACGAUCCACUCCCAGAAGAUAUUAAGCCACGGUGGGAGGAAUGGAGGAAUGAUCUUUUCAAAUUGAAAGAGGUUACAAUUCCAAGAUGUUACCAUCCAUUUAACUUCCAUAACAUUACCAGAGUAGAAUUACAUCAUUUUUCGGAUGCUAGCUGUGUAGGUUAUGGUAUGUGCUCUUACCUUAGAUAUAAAACUAAUAAGGACGAAGUCCAUUGCUGUCUUGUUAUGGCAAAGGCAAGAGUUGCACCUUUAAAGGUUACUAGUAUCCCCAGACUUGAACUUUCGGCAGCUGUCAUUUCCAUCCAAAUAAGUGUCAUGCUUAGGAGUGAGCUUGAUAUGAAAAUUGAUCAAGAAUAUUUUUGGACAGACUCUCAAGUGGUGCUUGGUUACAUCAACAAUGACUCGCGCAGGUUUCACAUAUUUGUUGCUAAUCGUGUUCAAUUAAUCAGAAAUAACAGUGAUCCCGGUCAGUGGCAUUUUGUAGACACUUCUGAGAACCCUGCAGAUCAUGCUUCGAGAGGUCUACGAGUUUCAGACAUUCAAUUAACAAACUGGCUGCCAGGACCCAGUUUUCUCUGGGAAAGUGACUUGCAUCCAACACCUCUCACUUCAACCGAGUUACUUGUUGGAGAUCCUGAAGUCAAGGCAAUCCAAGUGCUUGCAACUGAAGUCAAAGACUGUAACGACAUUCUUACACGGUUUAGUAGAUUUUCUUCAUGGACAACGCUAAUAAAAGUGGUUGCAAGAAUCCUAAGACUGAGAUCUAAAACUCAACAAUAUAGUGAGCACGUGACUGUCGAAGAGCGGGAAAAGGCCACACGGGCAAUUAUUGAAAUGGUACAGCAGCAAGCUUUCAGCCAAGAGAGGAAGAUGCUUCAACGUGGUAACCCUCUUCCAAACUCGAAUUCUCUUUUUGGCUUGGAACCCAUAUUGAUUGAAGGACUUCUUUGUGUUGGUGGGAGAUUAAAAGGGUCUUCUCUCUGCCAUAAAAUAAAGCACCCAGCCAUUUUGCCAAACAGCAGUCACAUCACGGAGAUGAUUGUGCGUUAUUACCAUGCCAAGACUUGUCAUCAGGGACGAAGCCAGACGCAAAUGGAGCUCAGGAUCAAUGGGUAUUGGGUCAUUGGCGGCAGCAAGCUGGUUGCAAAACUCAUACACACUUGUGUGUACUGUAGAAGAAUGCGGCGGCCUAUAGAGAGCCAACAAAUGGCUGAACUCCCAAAGGAACGCCUUGAAUCCUCUGCACCUUUUACAUAUACUGGCAUGGAUUGUUUUGGCCCCUUUAUUGUAAGGAAAGCCCGCAAAGAAUUAAAGCGAUAUGGAGUUAUUUUUACAUGUUUAUACUCCCGAGCGGUUCAUAUAGAAAUGCUAGAAGACCUAUCAACGGACUCCUUUAUUAACGCAUUAAGAUGCUUCAUCAGUCUUAGAGGAGCUGUCCGAAAAUUAUACUGUGAUCAAGGGUCUAACUUUGUGGGUGCCCAAAAUGAGUUUAAAAGGGCACUUAAACAAUGCAACUCCAAACAGUUAGAAGUCUUUUUAGCUGAGAACCAAUGUGAAUUUGUGUUUAAUGCCCCUUCUGCCAGCCAUGCAGGUGGUGUUUGGGAGCGACAAAUUAGAACAGUUAGAAGCAUACUAAAUGGUACUUUUGCUCUGUGCCCAGGCCGUUUAGAUGACUCUUCUCUCCGAACACUAUUGUACGAAGCCAUGGCAAUUGUCAAUAGUCGGCCACUAACAGUAGAUGGAAUGAAUGAUCCACAGGCUUUGGAACCUUUGACACCAAAUCAUCUUAUUAUGAUGAAAGCUCAAGUUUCCCUUCCUCCUCCUGGAGUGUUUGUAAAGGAAGAUUUAUAUGGGACAAAGCGGUGGAGAAGAGUCCAAUAUCUCAUUGAACAAUUCUGGAGUCGGUGGAAAAGGGAAUACUUGCUCAACAUAUCCACUAGACAGAAAUGGCACUUACCAAAGCGCAACCUGAAAGUCAAUGAUAUUGUUAUCAUAAAGGAAGAUCACCUUCCAAGAAACCAGUGGCAAUUAGGGCGAAUAGUUGAGGCAGUCCAAGAUGGCGAUGGCUUAGUUCGGCGAGUCAAAGUCAGAGUUGGCGUGCGCAAAGCGCAAGAAAAUCAGGGUUCCUCCUUUAAAAUGUCCGUUAUCGAGAGACCAAUUCAAAAACUAGUUCUUCUCGUGGAGAAUUGACAGUAGUUGUACACGCACACAGUUGAGAAAUUCUGUACAAUUCAUUUUACUGUUGUUUGUUCAUUGUAACAGAAUUUGGUGGGAGUGUAAAUGGCGUGUGGGUCUGUGAAUUGCGGGCACUUCCGUUUUUGCAUUUAUUUUGAAAGGCACCGCGCACAACCCCAUGCUCCCGUCUUUUUCUUAAUGAGGAAAUCUAGCACACCUGUCUGUAAACCUGUCCACACGCUGCACUGUCUGAGAAGCAGCGCAGCCACAUCGUAGGUGAGUCCACAAAUAAAUUGCAAGAGUUAUUAUUACUGCGGGAAUUUAUGUUUAUAUUCGUUUGGCUUGUAUUUGUUUGUGGAAAGACUGUAGUGCGGAGAGGUUAUAUUGGUUCGAUUGAAGAUAGCGCGCUCGGAAAGCAGAUGGAGUUUUCAAGGUGUCAACAAAAGAACAAAAAAUGACUGAAAAUAAAGUUAAAGAACACCCGUCGAAGCCCUCUGCGUGUCGCAUCAUUCCGAGC